GCCAAAGAGGGAGAGAAGCCAAACGGAGAACCUUUCACGCCGAGCAGGGCAGAUGGCGGCGUGUACAAAGCCCAGACUCUUGAUGAGGACACCUCAGGAGCGCUGGAAAUCAAGGAGGCCCCGGACGUGCCCGUGGACGUACCUGUGGACCAGAAACCGGCGGAGAUGGUGAAAGAAGUUGAAGAGACACACAGGAACAGCCCUGAUUUUGAAAGCAACAAGGAAGACAACUCACCAAUGUCUUUUAAGAAAGAGUUUCUCUUAAGACACAACACGGAGAAAGAAGUAGAAGGAUGCUCCUCACGUGACGUUCACCCCAGAGAGAGAUCUUUAUGGGCGGGUCUAAGCCGUCUUCCCUUCCGGCGCCUCCUGGGCCCUUUCCCUGCCGUCGAAGGACCCGAGGACUUGAGCUGCUGGCUCUCACAGAUGCAAGGCACACGGAACCAUCUGCUGUCAGGAUUGUUUAAGAACACACAGAGAUUGCACCGUCGCUGCACAGGUAUUUCCUUCGACUUUCCACUCGCACAGCCUGGCCAGGUGGUGCUCUUCACGGUAGGAGGAGGAAGCAGAACGCGCCCUGUCUCGUCCUUGGUGGCCGAGGGCACCAGCAGCAGUAACGGGGGUGGC
This 627-nucleotide long non-coding RNA is filed under the name Sus scrofa (pig). RNAcentral describes it as "lncRNA (ENSSSCG00015028545.1)". The record is from RNAcentral. Lineage: Eukaryota; Metazoa; Chordata; Mammalia; Artiodactyla; Suidae.